GCCCGGCUAGCGCAAUGGUAGCGCGUAAGACUUCUACUUUUCUCUCUGAUAAUUUCCUGAUAAGGAAAUAAGUAAAUAAGGGAAGACAAUCGUGAUCUUAAGGCUGUGGGUUCGAGUCCCACGUCGGGCC
Cladorrhinum sp. PSN259 is the source of this 130-nucleotide non-coding RNA. NCBI's taxonomy places the organism in Eukaryota, Fungi, Ascomycota, Sordariomycetes, Sordariales, Podosporaceae. The record is from the annotation of a GenBank genome assembly.